AUACUAUGGUGUCGGGCCUGUUUAUCACAUGCCAGGGUCAUGGAUCAGUUUGAAUACAUCAAAAUACUUGCAGAUGUGCAUGUUUCCUUUGAACCAAAGAG
Long non-coding RNA from Thalassophryne amazonica, 101 nucleotides. RefSeq lists it as uncharacterized. The record is from RefSeq and is a predicted model, not a curated record. The transcript has 3 exons. NCBI's taxonomy places the organism in Eukaryota, Metazoa, Chordata, Actinopteri, Batrachoidiformes, Batrachoididae.